UGUAAUAAUAACAUACUAGUGGACUAAACCUAAAUAUAUUAUUAUUAUAUAUAUUUAGGUUAUAAUGUAUAAUGAAUUGAUUUGGUGAAAUAAUACACAUCGUGAUUUGGGGAAGAAACUGUUUCUCGUUUCUUCACAGCGGCUCUUCUUUUUUGAGCAGAUCUCCUCCCGUCGAUCCCUUCUAAUCAUCAUGGUAUCGGAGCGGAGUUCUUCGUCGAUGGCAUCUAGCAACGGCAGAUCUAGUGGAGAUCGAUGAUCGGGCAGACCGAAGGAGGCAUGAUCGGCGGCAACGUCGGGAACACAACCGGUAGAAAAUCGACGAUGAGUACCCCUACCCGGCGAAAUUAAACAUUGGUGACUUCGUUUCAAUUUAUCUUUCUGCCGAUAAUUUCUUGCAAUGGCAGACACAGAUGGUGAAUCUGUUAGAGGGACAAGAUCUCAUUGAGUUUGUCGAUGGCUCANNN
Molecule: long non-coding RNA, 464 nt
Filed under: Zostera marina
Lineage: Eukaryota; Viridiplantae; Streptophyta; Magnoliopsida; Alismatales; Zosteraceae
Description: long non-coding RNA (ZMAR_LNC001245)
Source: RNAcentral